Molecule: ribosomal RNA, 340 nt
Filed under: Phyto sp. n. 1 AT-2015
Lineage: Eukaryota; Metazoa; Arthropoda; Insecta; Diptera; Rhinophoridae
Description: partial 16S ribosomal RNA
Source: RNAcentral
UCGAAGGUAGCAUAAUCAGUAGUCUUUUAAUUGAAGGCUGGAAUGAAUGGUUGGACGAAAUAUUAACUGUUUCAUAAAAAUUUAUAAUAUAAUUUUAUUUUUUAGUUAAAAAGCUAAAAUUUAUUUUAAAGACGAGAAGACCCUAUAAAUCUUUAUAUUUAAUUUAUUAUAAUUUUAUUGAUUUUUUAUGUUAUAAUAAAUUAUAUUAUUUUAUUGGGGUGAUAUUAAAAUUUAAUUAACUUUUAAUUAUUAGAUCAUUAAUUUAUGAAUAAUUGAUCCAUUUUUAGUGAUUAAAAAAAUAAGUUACUUUAGGGAUAACAGCGUAAUUUUUUUGGAGAGU